Molecule: ribosomal RNA, 301 nt
Filed under: uncultured bacterium
Lineage: Bacteria
Description: partial 16S ribosomal RNA
Rfam family: Bacterial small subunit ribosomal RNA
Source: RNAcentral
CAGUCGCCGCGGUAAUACAGAGGGUGCGAGUGUUAAUCGGAUUUACUGGGCGUAAAGCGUGCGUAGGCGGCUUUUUAAGUCGGAUGUGAAAUCCCCGAGCUUAACUUGGGAAUUGCAUUCGAUACUGGUUAGCUAGAGUGUGGGAGAGGAUGGUAGAAUUCCAGGUGUAGCGGUGAAAUGCGUAGAGAUCUGGAGGAAUACCGAUGGCGAAGGCAGCCAUCUGGCCUAACACUGACGCUGAGGUACGAAAGCAUGGGGAGCAAACAGGAUUAGAUACCCGUGUAGUCCCUGUCUCUUAUAC